UACGAAGGGGGCUAGCGUUGCUCGGAUUGACUGGGCGUAAAGGGCGCGUAGGCGGAUAGUACAGUCAGGCGUGAAAUUCCUGGGCUCAACCUGGGGGCUGCGUUUGAUACGUAUUGUCUGGAGUUCGGAAGAGGGUCGUGGAAUUCCCAGUGUAGAGGUGAAAUUCGUAGAUAUUGGGAAGAGCACCGGUGGCGAAGGCGGCGACCUGGUCCUUUACUGACGCUGAGGCGCGAAAGCGUGGGGAGCAAACAGG
RNAcentral lists this ribosomal RNA (253 nucleotides) under uncultured bacterium. RNAcentral describes it as "partial 16S ribosomal RNA". It matches the Rfam family "Bacterial small subunit ribosomal RNA", at positions 524 to 776 of the family's 1533-position model. The record is from RNAcentral.